RNAcentral lists this long non-coding RNA (417 nucleotides) under Citrus x clementina. RNAcentral describes it as "Citrus clementina (C. clementina) long non-coding RNA (CCLE_LNC006707)". Lineage: Eukaryota; Viridiplantae; Streptophyta; Magnoliopsida; Sapindales; Rutaceae. The record is from RNAcentral.
GCUACUAGCACCACUCCUUUUUUUUUUUUUUUUUAAUUGAAGGCCUAAGUGAGCUUUGCGAAGCACAGCCAGCCGCAAUGGGCUCCUUUUUUUUUUUUUUUUUUGAUUGAAGGCCUAAGUGAUCUUUGCGAAGCACAGCCACCGGCGAUGGGCUAGCCUUGUGGGAAUAGCACGAUAAAGCCGACAUUUUGUCGACCCACAAACGUACUUUGGCCUUACUUAACAGAUUGGGCCAGCCGAACACAACCUGGAUGGACAAUUACGGUGGUCCAAGAAGAUCGAGCGACCAGACUAAAAGAAAACCAAAGAGGACUGAAUGCUUAAUUAUGAAAAUUACUUGUUUAUCAGAAUAUUUAGUAACUUAGCAGGACUUUGCUGGGAAUAGUGAGGUCUUUCAAAAGAAAGAAAAUUUUAAAU